Molecule: transfer RNA, 75 nt
Filed under: Candidatus Buchananbacteria bacterium
Lineage: Bacteria; Candidatus Buchananiibacteriota
Description: tRNA-Pro
Rfam family: tRNA
About the family: Transfer RNA (tRNA) molecules are approximately 80 nucleotides in length. Their secondary structure includes four short double-helical elements and three loops (D, anti-codon, and T loops).
Source: RNAcentral
CGGGGUGUGGCUCAGUUGGUCUAGAGCGUCGGGCUGGGGGUCCGAAGAUCAGCGGUUCGAAUCCGCUCACCCCGA